GGGGAAUAUUGCACAAUGGGCGAAAGCCUGAUGCAGCGACGCCGCGUGAGGGAUGACGGCCUUCGGGUUGUAAACCUCUUUCGCUCAUGGUCAAGCCGCAACAAUGGUUGUGGUGAGGGUAGUGGGUAAAGAAGCGCCGGCUAACUACGUGCCAGCAGCCGCGGUAAUACGUAGGGCGCGAGCGUUGUCCGGAAUUAUUGGGCGUAAAGGGCUUGUAGGCGGUUGGUCGCGUCUGCCGUGAAAUCCUCUGGCUUAACUGGGGGCGUGCGGUGGGUACGGGCUGACUUGAGUGCGGUAGGGGAGACUGGAACUCCUGGUGUAGCGGUGGAAUGCGCAGAUAUCAGGAAGAACACCGGUGGCGAAGGCGGGCCUCUGGGCCGUUACUGACGCUGAGGAGCGAAAGCGUGGGGAGCGAACAGGAUUAGAUACCCUGGUAGUCCACGCUGUAAACGUUGGGCACUAGGUGUGGGGGCCACCCGUGGUUUCUGCGCCGUAGCUAACGCUUUAAGUGCCCCGCCUGGGGAGUACGGCCGCAAGGCUA
RNAcentral lists this ribosomal RNA (541 nucleotides) under uncultured bacterium. Its description in RNAcentral is "bacterial SSU rRNA". It matches the Rfam family "Bacterial small subunit ribosomal RNA", at positions 356 to 896 of the family's 1533-position model. The record is from RNAcentral.